CUUACCCCCUUAGUGCAAUUUUCUCCAUUUCACCCCCACCGAAUUUUAGGCUUCUGUGGAUUGCCAGCAGGGGAUUUUAUUUCUCUUUCCGGGUAGAUGUUAAUGUCUGCUCCGAGCCUCUGGAGCCGGUCCAGACGUCAGCGGUUCCGCCCGAACCCGCAUCUAGCUCACUCUCCUGAACCCCGUCUCACCACCCGCUCCUCUUCAUCUUCAUUGACCCCACACCUGGCCUGCUUCUGCUGCAAACGCCAUCCCCGAGGAAGCAGAGGGAGCCAGCCAGCAAAUUCCUAAAGCGUUAACAGCUCCCCUAGAUCCAGUGGGAAAGAAGAGGAGGAUUCCUGGAGGGGACUAGGUGUUGUCACAGAUCUGGUUCGGCCGAGGGUCCUCAUUUCUAUGAGAAAGGAAAUUAACCAGGAAUGACAUAUUUGACAAUAAAGAACAUGAAGAGAUGGUUCCUGGACCUGAACAGGAAAAGCCGGUUCUUGGAUCCUACAAAGAAUCUUCACGUGCA
Long non-coding RNA from Balaenoptera acutorostrata (minke whale), 511 nucleotides. RefSeq lists it as uncharacterized. The record is from RefSeq and is a predicted model, not a curated record. NCBI's taxonomy places the organism in Eukaryota, Metazoa, Chordata, Mammalia, Artiodactyla, Balaenopteridae. The transcript is spliced from 3 exons.